Molecule: ribosomal RNA, 301 nt
Filed under: uncultured bacterium
Lineage: Bacteria
Description: partial 16S ribosomal RNA
Rfam family: Bacterial small subunit ribosomal RNA
Source: RNAcentral
CAGUCGCCGCGGUAAUACGUAGGGUGCGAGCGUUAAUCGGAAUUACUGGGCGUAAAGCGUGCGCAGGCGGUUAUGCAAGACAGAUGUGAAAUCCCCGGGCUUAACCUGGGAACUGCAUUUGUGACUGGCGAGCUAGAGUAUGGCAGAGGGGGGUAGAAUUCCACGUGUAGCAGUGAAAUGCGUAGAGAUGUGGAGGAAUACCGAUGGCGAAGGCAGCCCCCUGGGCCAAUACUGACGCUCAUGCACGAAAGCGUGGGGAGCAAACAGGAUUAGAUACCCCGGUAGUCCCUGUCUCUUAUAC